This 873-nucleotide ribosomal RNA is filed under the name Acinetobacter sp. AU709. RNAcentral's name for it is "bacterial SSU rRNA". It matches the Rfam family "Bacterial small subunit ribosomal RNA", at positions 56 to 924 of the family's 1533-position model. Lineage: Bacteria; Pseudomonadati; Pseudomonadota; Gammaproteobacteria; Moraxellales; Moraxellaceae. The record is from RNAcentral.
UGCAGUCGAGCGGGGGAAGGUAGCUUGCUACUGGACCUAGCGGCGGACGGGUGAGUAAUGCUUAGGAAUCUGCCUAUUAGUGGGGGACAACAUUCCGAAAGGAAUGCUAAUACCGCAUACGUCCUACGGGAGAAAGCAGGGGACCUUCGGGCCUUGCGCUAAUAGAUGAGCCUAAGUCGGAUUAGCUAGUUGGUGGGGUAAAGGCCUACCAAGGCGACGAUCUGUAGCGGGUCUGAGAGGAUGAUCCGCCACACUGGGACUGAGACACGGCCCAGACUCCUACGGGAGGCAGCAGUGGGGAAUAUUGGACAAUGGGGGGAACCCUGAUCCAGCCAUGCCGCGUGUGUGAAGAAGGCCUUAUGGUUGUAAAGCACUUUAAGCGAGGAGGAGGCUACUAGUAUUAAUACUACUGGAUAGUGGACGUUACUCGCAGAAUAAGCACCGGCUAACUCUGUGCCAGCAGCCGCGGUAAUACAGAGGGUGCGAGCGUUAAUCGGAUUUACUGGGCGUAAAGCGUGCGUAGGCGGCCAUUUAAGUCAAAUGUGAAAUCCCCGAGCUUAACUUGGGAAUUGCAUUCGAUACUGGAUGGCUAGAGUAUGGGAGAGGAUGGUAGAAUUCCAGGUGUAGCGGUGAAAUGCGUAGAGAUCUGGAGGAAUACCGAUGGCGAAGGCAGCCAUCUGGCCUAAUACUGACGCUGAGGUACGAAAGCAUGGGGAGCAAACAGGAUUAGAUACCCUGGUAGUCCAUGCCGUAAACGAUGUCUACUAGCCGUUGGGGCCUUUGAGGCUUUAGUGGCGCAGCUAACGCGAUAAGUAGACCGCCUGGGGAGUACGGUCGCAAGACUAAAACUCAAAUGAAUUGACGGGGGCCCGC